Molecule: long non-coding RNA, 1657 nt
Organism: Oenanthe melanoleuca
Lineage: Eukaryota; Metazoa; Chordata; Aves; Passeriformes; Muscicapidae
Exons: 3
Source: RefSeq, a predicted model, not a curated record
CUGGUUGCAAAGCAGAGCUCCAGGCUAGAGGCCAAAUCACACAGGGUAUGAGGAGCUUCAGAAAUAACCACCAUUCAGCUUUGUUUACUGCAAGGAGCUCUGGAAGGAAACCAUCAAAUUAAGGAUAACAAAGACUUCAGGAAAAGAGACACCAGUGCAUUUAGAAGAGCAGCCCUCAGUUUCCCCAAGGAUAUGGGUGAUGUUAUUGCCAGGACAUACAGUAGUAUCAGACAGGUUUUCCUCUGCCUCUGUACCUGUAGGAAGAAAUCUCUUGGAAAGCACUUACUUAUGGACUUUUUUUUUCCAUUUGGACCAUACUGCUUCCUGCUGAAAAUGAGAAACUGACUUCACUGGAAACUUUCUACAGAUUGCUCAGGUUCAUGAUUUUCAAGGAGAGAGAGAAGAUUCUGAAAUAACUAUUUGUGGGUCUUUAAGUUUACUGUGGGUCUCUGCAAUUCUUCUAUAAUAUAUUAGUGGAAUAUUGUGCUGAUUCAUAUUUCUGCAUUCUCUGUGUUCAAUCUCAUAGGGUGCUUUGUUAGGAUCAAGAGCAGGAGAAAAGAUGAGCACACAGACAGGUUUCCCUGAAUAAAGAACAUGGCUCAUCCUUAGGAUUCAAGCAGCUGGCUAAAAAAAAAGCUUUUUCUAGAGAGGAGGAAAAACUCAAUGUAGCAAGAGCAUCUUCAUCCAAAUUUGCAUACUUUUGAAGGCUGAAAAAGUCUAAUCUUCCUGAGCACACAAAAAAUCAAAUAGGAGAUUUCUCCUUCACUCAUGUCUCCAGCCCACAUCUUAAACUCUGGCAAAUAAUCUCACUCUCUCUUUCUGGACUUCUGCCCCGUGUCUGUAUGUCCUCUGCUUCCCUCUCCUCACUCCUCCAGGCAUUCCUCAAUGGCCAGGCACUUGCCAGUGCUGUGUGGGUGAUGACAUGUUUCUUGGCUUUGAUUUGGAGACUGCUAUAGUUUCAUAAGUGACUGUAAGUGCUUCUUUUCAGCUCUCUGGAAUGAAGGGCAGCUGUUACACCUUGGGCCUCAAUAACUCAAUAAUUUUGUCCAGCCACCACUAACUUCUUCAUCACCUCAUUGAGCCAGCACUGGUCCUGAACACUCUGUUGGCUUGUCCUCUGGACUCUAACAUCCUUUUGAGUCUGCUGUUUUCCUCUUCUGCCCCUGCUCUGUCACCUCCUCCAUCUCAAACAGACACAAAAAUACUCAAGAACAAUUUCACUGAAAUCCCCUUCAAUGCUUACUUUUCCUUCAGGUCUUGAAACCUGACUGUAUUUGGGAUGGAGAUUGCUGGUGUUUCAGCUGUGUGCUUCCAUACUACCAUUUGCAUUAAUCAUUUCAAGUAGAGGACAAUUUUAAUUUCCACAAACCCACCUGAUUUUUUUUUUUUUUCAGUUUCUUUGGUUAUACAGACUAGCAGCUUGGGUGCCUGCUGGGUUCUGAGCAGCAGGACCUGCCCCAUGUGACACCCAGUGCUUUCUCUCAAGUUAUUCACUGUUAAUGGUCUUCAAUAGAGAACCUCUCACAAUAAAAGUAGGCAAAAAAAGCACCCAUUAGAAAUCAUGUGUGUUUGGUCCUGAAGCAGAAGACCAGGAACAAAAGUUAGUUGAGCUUUUUGCCUCUGACUUGACAGGGAAUUAUUAAGGGCACAUCAGAGA